RNAcentral lists this ribosomal RNA (253 nucleotides) under uncultured bacterium. RNAcentral describes it as "partial 16S ribosomal RNA". It matches the Rfam family "Bacterial small subunit ribosomal RNA", at positions 524 to 776 of the family's 1533-position model. The record is from RNAcentral.
AACGUAGGAGACAAACGUUAUCCGGAGUUACUGGGCGUAAAGGGUGCGUAGGUGGCGCUGUAAGUCGGGUGUGAAAUUUCGGAGCUUAACUCCGAAACUGCAUUCGAUACUGCGGUGCUUGAGGACUGGAGAGGAGACUGGAAUUCAUGGUGUAGCAGUGAAAUGCGUAGAGAUCAUGAGGAAGACCAGUGGCGAAGGCGGGUCUCUGGACAGUUCCUGACGCUGAGGCACGAAGGUCAGGGGAGCAAACGGG